This 372-nucleotide ribosomal RNA is filed under the name Triticum aestivum (bread wheat). RNAcentral describes it as "partial small subunit ribosomal RNA". The record is from RNAcentral. Lineage: Eukaryota; Viridiplantae; Streptophyta; Magnoliopsida; Poales; Poaceae.
GAACACUUGAGGAUAGCACUUCAAAUCUUAAGAGAGAAUCAGUUGUAUGCAAAAUUUAGUAAGUGUGAGUUUUGGCUGGACCAAGUAGCUUUCUUGGGGCACGUAAUUUCAGGAAGAGGAGUUGAGGUUGACCCAUCAAAAAUUGAGACAGUUGUGUCUUGGGCUCGUCCGACCAAUCCAAGUGAGAUAAGGAGUUUCUUGGGCUUUGCAGGGUACUACCGCAGAUUUAUAAAAGGGUUUUCGCAGAUUACAGCACCAAUCACCAAAUUGCUUAGGAAAGAAGCUAAGUUUAUUUGGACUGAAGAGUGUGAGAGAAGUUUUCAGGAACUAAAGAAAAGGUUAACUACCGCACCAGUGUUGGCAUUACCUGAA